AGCGCUUUUCAAAAGCGCUCUGGUAGGGGUGUUUAAUGAGAGCGCUUUUUGUCAAAAGCGCUGGUAUAGACCAGGCUAUGAGAGCGCUUUUCAGAAGCGCUUUAGUAGCCUUUAUUACUAAAAAUUAAAAACCAAAACACGCGUUACUGUUUCUCAUUUCUCUCUUUCGUUUUCUGCAGAACCCUUCCGUCCACCACUGUUCUUCAUCCACAAACCCUCACUGCACGCGAAACCCUUCCGUCCACCACCAUCGGCAACCACCGUCGGCGUCCCUCCGUCGGCUUCUCCUCCGUCACUCGUUUUAUCCACCGCCGGUCUGACUGGAUUGAUAACUUUGGAUCUCUUUGGAGCUCGUAUCAUUGACUCUGGUACUACAUAUUUAGGAGGGUAACUUGUGUAUAGUGAAAGUUUGAUCGUUUCCCAGCCUAGUUCGACGUUUGGCGUUUUCUUGAGUUCGGUAACAUCCGAGGGGUUACUUGUGAAGAGUGGAAGUUUGACCGUUGUUGUUUAGCUUAAUUAAGACAUGGAUAAGACAUGGAUGAAUUCAAACCGAUUGUCGAAAGAGUACGAGAAAGGGGUAUGGGAAUUUGUUGA
This is a long non-coding RNA of Vicia villosa (hairy vetch), 594 nucleotides long. RefSeq lists it as uncharacterized. The record is from RefSeq and is a predicted model, not a curated record. Lineage: Eukaryota; Viridiplantae; Streptophyta; Magnoliopsida; Fabales; Fabaceae. The transcript has 4 exons.